GUGAGGAAUAUUGGUCAAUGGACGAGAGUCUGAACCAGCCAAGUAGCGUGAAGGAUGACUGCCCUAUGGGUUGUAAACUUCUUUUAUACGGGAAUAAAGUGAGGCACGUGUGCCUUUUUGUAUGUACCGUAUGAAUAAGGAUCGGCUAACUCCGUGCCAGCAGCCGCGGUAAUACGGAGGAUCCGAGCGUUAUCCGGAUUUAUUGGGUUUAAAGGGAGCGUAGGCGUACGCUUAAGUCAGUUGUGAAAGUUUGCGGCUCAACCGUAAAAUUGCAGUUGAUACUGGGUGUCUUGAGUACAGUAGAGGCAGGCGGAAUUCGUGGUGUAGCGGUGAAAUGCUUAGAUAUCACGAAGAACUCCGAUUGCGAAGGCAGCUUGCUGGACUGUAACUGACGCUGAUGCUCGAAAGUGUGGGUAUCAAACAGGAUUAGAUACCCUUGUAGUCC
Molecule: ribosomal RNA, 445 nt
Filed under: uncultured bacterium
Lineage: Bacteria
Description: partial 16S ribosomal RNA
Rfam family: Bacterial small subunit ribosomal RNA
Source: RNAcentral